GUGCUUGCACUAAAUGAAACUAGAUACAAGCGAGCGGCGGACGGGUGAGUAACACGUAGGUAACCUGCCCAAGAGACUGGGAUAACACCUGGAAACAGAUGCUAAUACCGGAUAACAACACUAGACGCAUGUCUAGAGUUUGAAAGAUGGUUCUGCUAUCACUCUUGGAUGGACCUGCGGUGCAUUAGCUAGUUGGUAAGGUAACGGCUUACCAAGGCAAUGAUGCAUAGCCGAGUUGAGAGACUGAUCGGCCACAUUGGGACUGAGACACGGCCCAAACUCCUACGGGAGGCAGCAGUAGGGAAUCUUCCACAAUGGACGAAAGUCUGAUGGAGCAACGCCGCGUGAGUGAAGAAGGGUUUCGGCUCGUAAAGCUCUGUUGGUAGUGAAGAAAGAUAGAGGUAGUAACUGGCCUUUAUUUGACGGUAAUUACUUAGAAAGUCACGGCUAACUACGUGCCAGCAGCCGCGGUAAUACGUAGGUGGCAAGCGUUGUCCGGAUUUAUUGGGCAUAAAGCGAGUGCAGGCGGUUCAAUAAGUCUGAUGUGAAAGCCUUCGGCUCAACCGGAGAAUUGCAUCAGAAACUGUUGAACUUGAGUGCAGAAGAGGAGAGUGGAACUCCAUGUGUAGCGGUGGAAUGCGUAGAUAUAUGGAAGAACACCAGUGGCGAAGGCGGCUCUCUGGUCUGCAACUGACGCUGAGGCUCGAAAGCAUGGGUAGCGAACAGGAUUAGAUACCCUGGUAGUUCCAUGCCGUAAAACGAUGAGUGCU
This 770-nucleotide ribosomal RNA is filed under the name uncultured bacterium. Its description in RNAcentral is "bacterial SSU rRNA". It matches the Rfam family "Bacterial small subunit ribosomal RNA", at positions 64 to 817 of the family's 1533-position model. The record is from RNAcentral.